AAUAGAUACCCAGGGUAGUCCACGCCGUAAACGAUGAGUGCUAAGUGUUAGAGGGUUUCCGCCCUUUAGGUGCUGCAGCUAACGCAUUAAGCACUCCGCCUGGGGAGUACGGUCGCAAGACUGAAACUCAAAGGAAUUGACGGGGGCCCGCACAAGCGGUGGAGCAUGUGGUUUAAUUCGAAGCAACGCGAAGAACCUUACCAGGUCUUGACAUCCUCUGACAACUCUAGAGAUAGAGCGUUCCCCUUCGGGGGACAGAGUGACAGGUGGUGCAUGGUUGUCGUCAGCUCGUGUCGUGAGAUGUUGGGUUAAGUCCCGCAACGAGCGCAACCCUUGAUCUUAGUUGCCAGCAUUUAGUUGGGCACUCUAAGGUGACUGCCGGUGACAAACCGGAGGAAGGUGGGGAUGACGUCAAAUCAUCAUGCCCCUUAUGACCUGGGCUACACACGUGCUACAAUGGAUGGUACAAAGGGCUGCAAGACCGCGAGGUCAAGCCAAUCCCAUAAAACCAUUCUCAGUUCGGAUUGUAGG
RNAcentral lists this ribosomal RNA (531 nucleotides) under uncultured bacterium. RNAcentral's name for it is "bacterial SSU rRNA". It matches the Rfam family "Bacterial small subunit ribosomal RNA", at positions 777 to 1304 of the family's 1533-position model. The record is from RNAcentral.